CGGGGUUUCACUGUUUUAGCCGGGAUGGUCUCGAUCUCCUGACCUCGUGAUCCGCCCGCCUCGGCCUCCCAAAGUGCUGGGAUUACAGGCGUGAGCCACCGCGCCCGGCCCACAUCAGAUUCUUGAAUGGAGAGCUUACCCCAAGAACCUGACCCAAGGGGACCGGGCUGCAAUUUGAUAGGGAGCUGGAGGAACUGCAUGGCAUUUAGUGUAUGGGGGUAGGAGUGGGGGCAAGAAGGACACCUUCCUCCCCAAAACCUACAGUCAGUCCAGUGGAGGAGCAGUCCUGGGUGGUUGGGGGCUCCUGAUACCAGGACCACCAUCUCCCAGCAGGAAAGAAGCCCCUCCCCUGCUGUCUGGAACAGCUCCUCUCUAUGCAAACAUGGAUCACCUGGGGUUGGGGAGCAUUGAGGGGAGGCUGGCUGGGCCAAAUGGAAUGCUGGUUCAUAGGCCAGAACUCGGAAGAUUCUCUGAAGCAUCUUGGGAGGUAUGAAAUAAGAGUCACUUAGAGAGAGGACAGAGCUUUCAUGAAAGAGGAUGACUAGGAGGCUGUCUUGUCCAUCCCUUGCUUCUGUGCCAAGCCCCACUAUUUCUCGGGAAUGUUUCCUGCUUUCAGGUCUAUUUCCAUGCUCAUUCAGCGUGGAAGUUUGCAUACCUUCACCUCAAAAAUAAAAACACACUUAUUAAAGACCUACUGUGCCCCAGACCUACUGUGUGCUGAAUGAUGGUGUUCUAAGCA
Molecule: long non-coding RNA, 739 nt
Filed under: Homo sapiens (human)
Lineage: Eukaryota; Metazoa; Chordata; Mammalia; Primates; Hominidae
Source: RNAcentral